RNAcentral lists this transfer RNA (76 nucleotides) under Alphaproteobacteria bacterium. RNAcentral describes it as "tRNA-Ala". It matches the Rfam family "tRNA". From Rfam's summary of the family: Transfer RNA (tRNA) molecules are approximately 80 nucleotides in length. Their secondary structure includes four short double-helical elements and three loops (D, anti-codon, and T loops). The record is from RNAcentral. Lineage: Bacteria; Pseudomonadati; Pseudomonadota; Alphaproteobacteria.
GGGGCCGUAGCUCAGUUGGGAGAGCGCGACGUUUGCAACGUUGAGGUCAUCGGUUCGAUCCCGUUCGGCUCCACCA